RNAcentral lists this transfer RNA (82 nucleotides) under Ixodes scapularis (black-legged tick). It matches the Rfam family "tRNA". Rfam says of the family: Transfer RNA (tRNA) molecules are approximately 80 nucleotides in length. Their secondary structure includes four short double-helical elements and three loops (D, anti-codon, and T loops). Lineage: Eukaryota; Metazoa; Arthropoda; Arachnida; Ixodida; Ixodidae. The record is from Rfam by way of RNAcentral.
GCAGUCGUGGCCGAGUGGUUAAAGCGAUAUACUAGAAAUCCAUUGGGGUCUCUCUGCACAGGUUCGAAUCCUGUCGACUGCG